UCUUACUUGCAAGAGCUCAAGUGAGCUCCCUUCGCCAGGCUAUUUCUUCGCCGACCGGCCACUAGGCUCUGAACCGAGAACGUGUACUCGUUCCUCCAUCUUCAGGCUACCAAACCCAACAAUCGAAAGGCCGAAGCCUUCUCUAUAUUUUCCUGACCAAAGGCCGCAAUAUCCUUCGGAGGCCAACGUCGAAUUCCCGACUUAGCCACCGGCCAACUUACGGCUUUCGUUUCUCACUAUCCUUACGACGAAAAAGGAUUGAGAAAACACCGUUGUGUAGCCUGAUCUACCUCGCACGAGGAAGACUAAGUCGUAGACCUUCGCGGCUAAACACCAUCGCGGAACGACGACCAGAAAACCCCCGACGAACAACUUCCAUUAGUGCUCACUUGGACAAGGGUUCAAAUAAACAAAAGCGUCUGAGUAACCUAUCGCGCUAAGGAAAGAGAAUCAUUGUCUUAAGUAGCAAAACACUGCAAUCAGGUGGGCAUUACUUUUACUAUACGUAUAUAGAGAUCCCCUACGUAUCGUAGGCCUCUUAUACGAAUGAAUGCAUGAGAUGAUCUAACUGUUAAUUUCAGUUUCAUAUAUAUCAAAUGAGUUUAAAUGUUACAUUCAAGCAAGUUAUUUCAUGACAAAAUCUUUGAGUUAAAGUUAUUUCAAGUAUUGUCUUGCCAUAAAAUGUUUCAAUUUUAGUAUGAUAUCUAUCUGCUUUGGCUUUGCCAAUGAUGCAAUCGAAUUCGGGUCCUGAGCAGUUGAUAGCUAUCCUGCCAGGACUAGUGUACACCAGUGACCGUGAGUCAUCUAGCGGGUUGGCCGGUCAAGUGACCGUGAGAGGUGGCCACCUCUCCGGCACACAGUUCCAGAUAUGAUAGAUUACAAGAGAACUUAGACUGCAGUCGAACUUUAAGAAUCACAAAUGAAUUUGGUAAGCUUGGGCCUUUUUAGCGAAAAACUCCCUUGCUGUACUGUUUAUGAUGGCAUGACAAUUUACAGUUUUGAAGCAUGUAUUUUUAUACCUAGGCAUACGUGCCACUGAGUGCUUUUGUACUCAGCCCUGCAUAUGUUUUCUAAAUGUGCAGGUUGAGCUGAUGUGAUGAUGGUGCUGCAAUGAGCGGAGUCUCCAGGGUUGUUAAUAAAUAGUUAACCUGUCUAGAAUAUGUCUUCAUACAUAUGUCUAGCUACUUUCCGCUGCAAGAUGUUGUUGAUGUUAUAGUAUGUUAUGUCAUACUUUGAGUCUUAAGAGAAUGGUUUCAUAUGAUGUAUAACUUGAUUAAUGAUAUUAAUUAAGUUUUAUGCUGUCUUUCAUAGACUAUUUUCAA
Salvia miltiorrhiza (redroot sage) is the source of this 1322-nucleotide long non-coding RNA. RefSeq lists it as uncharacterized. The record is from RefSeq and is a predicted model, not a curated record. The transcript has 2 exons. Lineage: Eukaryota; Viridiplantae; Streptophyta; Magnoliopsida; Lamiales; Lamiaceae.